This 460-nucleotide ribosomal RNA is filed under the name uncultured bacterium. RNAcentral's name for it is "partial 16S ribosomal RNA". It matches the Rfam family "Bacterial small subunit ribosomal RNA", at positions 338 to 795 of the family's 1533-position model. The record is from RNAcentral.
CCUACGGGAGGCAGCAGUGAGGAAUAUUGGUCAAUGGACGAGAGUCUGAACCAGCCAAGUAGCGUGAAGGAUGACUGCCCUAUGGGUUGUAAACUUCUUUUAUAUGGGAAUAAAACGUUCCACGUGUGGGAUUUUGUAUGUACCAUAUGAAUAAGGAUCGGCUAACUCCGUGCCAGCAGCCGCGGUAAUACGGAGGAUCCGAGCGUUAUCCGGAUUUAUUGGGUUUAAAGGGAGCGUAGGUGGAUUGUUAAGUGAGUUGUGAAAGUUUGCGGCUCAACCGUAAAAUUGCAGUUGAAACUGGCAGUCUUGAGUACAGUAGAGGUGGGCGGAAUUCGUGGUGUAGCGGUGAAAUGCUUAGAUAUCACGAAGAACUCCGAUUGCGAAGGCAGUUCACUGGACUGCAACUGACACUGAGGCUCGAAAGUGUGGGUAUCAAACAGGAUUAGAUACCCCUGUAGUC